Molecule: transfer RNA, 63 nt
Filed under: Phoetalia pallida
Lineage: Eukaryota; Metazoa; Arthropoda; Insecta; Blattodea; Blaberidae
Description: tRNA-Asp
Source: RNAcentral
GAAAAAUUAGUUAAAUUAUAACAUUAGUUUGUCAAACUAAAAUUAUUCAAAAAAUAUUUUUCU